Molecule: ribosomal RNA, 425 nt
Filed under: uncultured bacterium
Lineage: Bacteria
Description: bacterial SSU rRNA
Rfam family: Bacterial small subunit ribosomal RNA
Source: RNAcentral
UAGGGAAUCUUCGGCAAUGGGGGGAACCCUGACCGAGCAACGCCGCGUGAGUGAAGAAGGUUUUCGGAUCGUAAAGCUCUGUUGUUAGAGAAGAACGUGUGUGAGAGUGGAAAGUUCACACAGUGACGGUAACUAACCAGAAAGGGACGGCUAACUACGUGCCAGCAGCCGCGGUAAUACGUAGGUCCCGAGCGUUGUCCGGAUUUAUUGGGCGUAAAGCGAGCGCAGGCGGUUCUGUAAGUCUGAAGUUAAAGGCAGUGGCUUAACCAUUGUACGCUUUGGAAUCUGCAGGACUCGAGUGCAGAAGGGGAGAGUGGAAUUCCAUGUGUAGCGGUGAAAUGCGUAGAUAUAUGGAGGAACACCGGUGGCGAAAGCGGCUCUCUGGUCUGUAACUGACGCUGAGGCUCGAAAGCGUGGGGAGCAAA